GUCCACGCUGUAAACGAUGUCGAUUUGGAGGUUGUGCCCUAGAGGUGUGGCUUCCGGAGCUAACGCGUUAAAUCGACCGCCUGGGGAGUACGGCCGCAAGGUUAAACUCAAAUGAAUUGACGGGGGCCCGCACAAGCGGUGGAGCAUGUGGUUUAAUUCGAUGCAACGCGAAGAACCUUACCUACUCUUGACAUCCACGGGAGUUAGCAGAGAUGCGAAUGUGCCUUCGGGAACCGUGAGACAGGUGCUGCAUGGCUGUCGU
RNAcentral lists this ribosomal RNA (262 nucleotides) under uncultured bacterium. Its description in RNAcentral is "partial 16S ribosomal RNA". It matches the Rfam family "Bacterial small subunit ribosomal RNA", at positions 793 to 1055 of the family's 1533-position model. The record is from RNAcentral.